RNAcentral lists this ribosomal RNA (289 nucleotides) under uncultured bacterium. RNAcentral describes it as "partial 16S ribosomal RNA". It matches the Rfam family "Bacterial small subunit ribosomal RNA", at positions 773 to 1060 of the family's 1533-position model. The record is from RNAcentral.
GUGGAUUAGAUACCCUGGUAGUCCACGCCCUAAACGAUGUCGACUGGGUGUUGGGAGAGAGAUCUCUUGGUACCGUAGCUAACGCGUGAAGUCGACCGCCUGGGGAGUACGGCCGCAAGGUUAAAACUCAAAGGAAUUGACGGGGACCCGCACAAGCGGUGGAUGAUGUGGAUUAAUUCGAUGCAACGCGAACAACCUUACCUACCCUUGACAUGUCCGGAACCCUGCUGAGAGGUGGGGGUGCCCGAAAGGGAAUCGGAACACAGGUGCUGCACGGUUGUCGACAACU